GUGUUUUGAAUGGAAGGGCCAUCGUUCAACGAUUAAAAGGUACUCCGGGGAUACCAGGCUGAUCCCGCCCAAGAGUUCAUAUCGACGGCGGUGUUUGGCACCUCGAUGUCGGCUCAUCACAUCCUGGGGCUGAAGUAGGUCCCAAGGGUAUGGCUGUUCGCCAUUUAAAGUGGUACGCGAGCUGGUUUUAGAACGUCGUGAGACAGUUCGGUCCCUAUCUGCCGUGGGCGUAGGAGAAUUGGUUGGGGCUGCUCCUAGUACGAGAGGACCGGAGUGGACGCACCACUGGUGUUCCGGUUGUGUCGCCAGACGCAUUGCCGGGUAGCUAAGUGCGGAAGAGAUAAGUGCUGAAAGCAUCUAAGCACGAAACUUGCCAAGAGAUGAGUUCUCCCAAUCUAAGAGAUAGUAAGGGUUGUUGUAGACUACGACGUAGAUAGGUCUGGUGUGUAAGUGUAGUGAUACAUUGAGCUAACAGAUACUAAUUGCCCGAGAGGCUUAACU
RNAcentral lists this ribosomal RNA (501 nucleotides) under Haemophilus influenzae R3021. RNAcentral describes it as "bacterial LSU rRNA". It matches the Rfam family "Bacterial large subunit ribosomal RNA", at positions 2423 to 2925 of the family's 2925-position model. The record is from RNAcentral. Lineage: Bacteria; Pseudomonadati; Pseudomonadota; Gammaproteobacteria; Pasteurellales; Pasteurellaceae.